RNAcentral lists this ribosomal RNA (352 nucleotides) under uncultured bacterium. Its description in RNAcentral is "bacterial SSU rRNA". It matches the Rfam family "Bacterial small subunit ribosomal RNA", at positions 917 to 1264 of the family's 1533-position model. The record is from RNAcentral.
GGACCCGCACAAGUAGUGGAGCAUGUGGUUUAAUUCGAAGAUACGCGCAGAACCUUACCAACACUUGACAUGUUCGUCGCGACUUUAAGAGAUUAAAGUUUUCGGUUCGGCCGGACGAAACACAGGUGCUGCAUGGCUGUCGUCAGCUCGUGUCGUGAGAUGUUGGGUUAAGUCCCGCAACGAGCGCAACCCUCACUUUUAGUUGCCAUCAUUUAGUUGGGCACUCUGAAAGAACUGCCAGUGAUAAGCUGGAGGAAGGUGGGGAUGACGUCAAGUCCUCAUGGCCCUUACGUGUUGGGCUACACACGUGCUACAAUGGCGCGUACAGAGGGUUGCAAACCCCCGCAAGGGG